CGGGGCACCCUCGCGUCACUUCCUGCCAAGGCCGGAAGGGGCCAUAGAGAACACGCUCGGACGCUAGAGCGCCACAGCGAGUGCCACAGAGGAGCGGGUCUUCCCCCAAAUGGGGCCGUGGGGCGGGGUUGGGAGACGGAGCCCGCCUUCCUGGCCGGUGAAACGCGCGGAUCCGUGCUCAGGUGGAGAAGGGGAUUAGAGAAAGCCCCGCCCUGCACCUGCUGUUUCCCAGGAGCCUGAGCCCGAAAUAACCCGGAUGCCAGAGCGGGGCGUUUAGGGGCGUGCUCGGCCGCCUUCAAUACCCGAUCAAGCUCCCCUAGUAAUUUUCCGUGCGCUGCCCUCCUCUCCUGCCCUGGCGUGAACGCCCAGCUGCCCUGCUGUGUUCAGGGUCGGGAUCGCUCUCUCAUCACGAUGAUCUUGGGUUAAAUCUUCCUUGCGUUUUUUUCUUUUUUUAAAGAUUGGCACCUGGGCUAACAACUGUUGCCAACUUUUUUUUCUUUUUCUGCUUUAUCUGUGUGUCUUUUUGCUUGCUCAGUUUCUCCAGAAUAGAUUUUUGGGGAAGAGUCCAACAGUUCAUGCUAUUAUAUGCCAUUUUGACAGGCUUUGAGAAUAUUCAUAGUUUGAUAGUAGCCAACACUGGAAACGACCCAACUGUCCACCAACAGAAGAGUGAUAAGUCAGUUGUGAGACAUUUAUCAAAAUGGACGGCCCCAUUGAGAAGUGCUAAGCUACACACAACAGCAUGAAUGCCUAUCAGGAUGGUGACAUAGAGGGAAAAAGCGGAUCACAGAAGAACGCAUCUAGUAUGAUUCCAUUUGCGUAGCUUAACACGUCAGACUGAAGAUUAUAUUACUUAGGGUUACCUUCAUAUGUGGUAAAUCUAUGAAGACAACCCAGUGUCGAUACAUUAUUCCCGAAAAGCGGAGCUGAACUUACUGUCUCUAAGGCCUCGUGUCGACCGUGCAACUGAGUCGUAAGUGAUUCAUUUUUCUGGAGCCCAACUAACAUCUCUGAGCCGACUUCGUGACCCUGUAGGGGUCAGCUUUUGCGGUGGUGACGUUGGCCAAAAAGCAACUGUGAACUCCCAGGGCUCUCCAACAGUACACGGCGACAGCCAUUCCCUCGGCGUGGUGGCUGUGUCGGCUGCGGCGCCACGUCCUCACCGUCGGGGCCCUGGCUGCGGGGACUCCCCUCUGGUGCCACUGUGCUCUCACGGCAGAGGGAAGGGACAAGAUGGGCAGGGCGACUCCCUCAAGCACUGGGGACGCUUCUGCGUGUUGAUCCGUCAUGUCCGCUCGUGUGCAGGGGCCGAGGGACCACACCACGAGCUCGCACAUGGGGCGGGGGCCUGUGCUGCCUCCAGGACACAAGGCGAGAACAAGUGCGAACCUAUAGCAGGAGCCUCCACAGAUACUGAGGGAAAAAGCUUUAGAACCACAGUCUUAGGGCUGGAGGGAACCUCAGACUUGAAUCCUCUCGCUGCUUCCCCUGCCAGGAGCAUCUCUCCUUCAUCCCAGACUCGGCUCUUCCACCCCAGCUGAGCCCUGCUGAUGACAGACCCACCCUCUUCCCGAGGCAGCUCUGUUGGAAAGUGCAUCCCUCUGAUAAGCCCCAAUCUCGCUCUCCCUCACCCCGGCUGGUUCUCGUUCUGCCCUCGGCACACCUCAUCCCCCCGCCUCAUGACAGCCUGGCACAGACGCUGCUGGCUGCCUGACUUGCAGCCGUGGCAUCCUUCUCACUCCCAGAAGGCUGUGUUUAGGUGGUAUUUGCCCUGCCCCAAGGGAAGAAUCAGGGUUGGUCAUGGAAAUCCUCUUUGCCAACAUUUAUUCUAAGGAAAGACUGUGACAUCGACCUGGUCAAUAAGAUAAAAGGGGAUGUUUGCUAGGGGCUCCUGGGAAAUUUUUCCUCCCUGAGAAAAGAGAGGCAUGUGAAGUGAAGGCUAUCUCUUAUCCACGUUUGUUUUGGCUCAGCACACCAGACUGUAGAAUGUGAUGCUUGGUGCUGCAGCAGCUAUCUUGUGACGAUGAGGAAAGACAUCACCAAAUCAGUAAGAGAAAGGAGCAGAAAUGUGGAAGGAGCCUGGAUCAUUUCCAGUGGUUUUACUGUUGUUCAGGUAUUUUUAAAUUUUUGAAAAUUUAAGUUAUACACUGAAUUAGCAUUGCUAAUCUAACAAGGUGACAUGCGCUAUGUUCAGAAAGUGUUCUUGUAUAUCUACCUAAUCCUCAAGAGAAGAAAGAAAGUGCUAAUCAACAAAGCACAGCUUCUGUUGCAAGAAUAAUCCUUAUUCUGGUCAAAGACUUUUUGAUCAAGUGGAAGACGAUAAGGCUGGUUUUGAAAGCAAUGCAGUAACCUGGCCAUGGAGUCUCUGAGGGCUCAUGAUUACCCGAAGCCUAGGACACACCGGAAAUAUUUCCUUUGAAACAAAAAACACAUCUCAUUAUCAUUAUAAAUGAUAACAGUCCAUGUGCAAAUCCCAAAAUGUUCACAACAUCCUCUCUGAAUUAUCAUCCCCCCCCACCUGCUAGUGUAGAAUGAAAAAGAGCAUUUUGGGCACCUAGUACAAUUUUACAAAAAUACACCAUGACUCAGAGAUGGCCCAUUGAUAUGUUUUGUCUUUUAAGAUUGAACUUUAAAAAAGAUAAAAUAUUAUUGUAUCACUUAAAAAUGUUUAUUAUUAAUUGUAUUUUCCACUUGUAUAGUUUAAUUUGUUUUUAAUAUUUUAAUUAGUUUUACCUGCUAAUAUUUUAUUUGCUAAUUGAAUGAUUAAUUAUAUUUAAUCUUUACCUUUAUGAAUUUAUGGUUCAUUUGAUGUUUUGUAAUAUGUUUAUAACAUAUUUUAAAUGCAUUGGAUAUUAAGUUGCCUUAACAUUUUAUCAUAUGAAUUACAAACUAUUUUCAGUAAAAAUACUGUAUUUAUGUGAAAA
Equus caballus (horse) is the source of this 2924-nucleotide non-coding RNA. NCBI's taxonomy places the organism in Eukaryota, Metazoa, Chordata, Mammalia, Perissodactyla, Equidae. The record is from RefSeq and is a predicted model, not a curated record.